CCUACGGGAGGCUGCAGUGAGGAAUAUUGGUCAAUGGACGGAAGUCUGAACCAGCCAUGCCGCGUGCAGGAAGAAGGCUCUAUGAGUUGUAAACUGCUUUUGUACAAGGGUAAACCUGAAUACGUGUAUUCAGCUGAAAGUACUGUACGAAUAAGGAUCCGCUAACUCCGUUCCAGCAGCCGCGGUAAUACGGAGGAUCCAAUCGUUAUCCGGAUUUAUUGGGUUUAAAGGGUGCGUAGGCGGAGUGAUAAGUUAGAGGUGAAAUGUCCGAGCUUAACUCGGGAACUGCCUCUAAUACUGUUGAGCUAGAGAGUAGAUGCGGUAGGCGGAAUGUAUGGUGUAGCGGUGAAAUGCGUAGAGAUCAUACAGAACACCGAGUGCGAAGGCAGCUUACCAAUCUAUAUCUGACGUUGAGGCACGAAAGCGUGGGGAGCAAACAGGAUUAGAUACCCUAGUAGUC
Molecule: ribosomal RNA, 460 nt
Filed under: uncultured bacterium
Lineage: Bacteria
Description: partial 16S ribosomal RNA
Rfam family: Bacterial small subunit ribosomal RNA
Source: RNAcentral